RNAcentral lists this ribosomal RNA (448 nucleotides) under Cupriavidus campinensis. Its description in RNAcentral is "bacterial SSU rRNA". It matches the Rfam family "Bacterial small subunit ribosomal RNA", at positions 30 to 474 of the family's 1533-position model. The record is from RNAcentral. Lineage: Bacteria; Pseudomonadati; Pseudomonadota; Betaproteobacteria; Burkholderiales; Burkholderiaceae.
AUUGAACGCUGGCGGCAUGCCUUACACAUGCAAGUCGAACGGCAGCACGGGAGCAAUCCUGGUGGCGAGUGGCGAACGGGUGAGUAAUACAUCGGAACGUGCCCUGUUGUGGGGGAUAACUAGUCGAAAGAUUAGCUAAUACCGCAUACGACCUGAGGGUGAAAGCGGGGGACCGUAAGGCCUCGCGCAAUAGGAGCGGCCGAUGUCUGAUUAGCUAGUUGGUGGGGUAAAAGCUCACCAAGGCGACGAUCAGUAGCUGGUCUGAGAGGACGAUCAGCCACACUGGGACUGAGACACGGCCCAGACUCCUACGGGAGGCAGCAGUGGGGAAUUUUGGACAAUGGGGGCAACCCUGAUCCAGCAAUNCCGCGUGUGUGAAGAAGGCCUUCGGGUUGUAAAGCACUUUUGUCCGGAAAGAAAUGGCCCUGGCUAAUACUCGGGGUCGAUG